ACCACCACCAGAAAAUAAGGUUGUGUUGCAUCUCUGUUACACUCGUACUCUACAACGCGGCGGGACAGAGAUGGAGAAUAGUCAUCGGCCGUCAGCAGAACCAUCUUUAUUUCUUGUGCAACUGUUUCUCCUCGGCCGUGUUCUAGUGCAGUGCAAACGCAGGAUGGACGCCAUUCGCGCGAGAUAAUUUUUUGUUCGCUCGUGAAGCGGAGUGGAAAGCGUUCGCGAUCGGGCGUGAAGCUAUGCUGAUACAGUGAGUGUGGUGCGCGGUGGUGCUGUGGUUUCGAUCCGGCGGCGGCGUGGAGGUCGGUGCGGGUCUGCGGCGGCGGAGCGGAUGGCGGGCGCGAGCUGAGCGCCCGGGGGCACCGCUCGCGCUCCGCCGCCGGCCCGAUGAGCGGGGCACGUUCCGUGCGGCGGAGGUUAUUUUAUGGGUGUUUGCGUGAGCUGUCGGCGCCGCGAGAGGAAGGCACCGGAGAAGAGGUCGGUGCCAGGAGCGGGCGGGCCCGCUAAGGGCGCGGCGGCAGAACUGCUGCCGCGGCGCGUCAACCGUCUCACAGCCAUGGCCAACUCCAUGUCAAACAUCAAGAUGACCAACCCCAUCAAGGGCAUAGUCAGCAAGCGCCGGAUACGCUACACGAAGCACGGUUUUAACCUGGACUUAGCCUAUAUCACAGACAGGCUGAUAGCGAUGGGUUUUCCCGCCGAGAAGUUGGAAGCAGUCUACAGGAAUCACAUUGACGAGGUGAACAGGUUUCUAGAGAAGAUGCACAAGGAUCAUUACAAGAUAUACAACUUGUGCUGGGAGCGGUCGUACGAUUCGAGCAAGUUUCAAGGGAACGUGGCGAAGUACGCGUUCAAAGACCACAUGCCGCCGAACAUCGAGCUGAUCCAGCCGUUCUGCGAGGACGUGCACAAGUGGCUCAGCACCGACUCGAGGAACGUGGCGGCGGUGCACUGUAAAGCAGGGAAGGGCAGGACUGGUACAAUGGUGUGUUGCUACCUCCUGUACAGCGGUCAGAUGGCGACCGCGGACGAGGCGCUCAAGUUCUACGGCACUAAGAGGACAUUAGACGAGAAGGGCGUGACGAUCCCGUCGCAGCGGCGCUACGUGGAGUACUACGCGGCGCUGCUGCGGUCGGGCGUGCAGUACCGCGCCACGAAGGUGCACGUGCGGUCGCUGGUGCUGUCGCCCGCGCCGCCCGCGCUCAACGGCUCGCACAGCGCGCCCGAGCUCGCCAUCUCGCAGGCGCACCCGCCAUUCAAGACGCCGUCGGGCUGCCAGGAGGUGUCCCGCACGGAGACGGGGCUGCGCGUGCACCUGACGCACUGCACGCCGCUGUACGGCGACGUGCGCGUCGACGUGUACAACAAACCCAAGCUCAAGAUGGGCAAGGAGAAGAUGUUCCACUUCUGGUUCAACACGUUCUUCGUGGCGUCCGAGCUGGCCGAGGGGGCGCAGCGAGUGACGCCGCUGCCCGACAGUCAGUACCGUCCCAACUUGGAAACGUUUAAACUGACAUUAAAUAAGUGGCAGUUAGACGACGCCCACAAGGACAAGCAACACAAAAAUUAUAGCCCAGAUUUCAAGGUGGAGCUGAUCAUCCAGAAGAUGCCGGAGUCGUCGCGGUUCGUGGCGCACGCGGAGUCGCGCGCGGCGUCGGCGGCGUCGUCGUCCGCCUCCUCGUGCUCCGAGCCCGACACCGAGCCCGACGCGCACUGGGACUCCGGUGAGCACGCGCGGCCCCGCGUCAGGGCCUGUUGGCGAGACUUCAGCGGACGGUUCGCGGACCACGGGCGCCAGCGGACCGACGGCGCCUAGCGACUGUCUGUCCGUCUCUUGUCUGUACCGGCGCCGAUGUUGAUUACGCUAACGUCACCUGGCGCAUGUUAACGAGAUUCGUCGAAUCCAGCUCGAGACCUCGUUCAGGGUCUACCCCGCGAACUGUUCACACAUUGAUCCUCAUUAGUCGCAGGGUGAAUUUGUAAAGUGCGGCAAUUGUAGUCUAUCGAUAAGUGACGAUUUGCGAGUGAUGUCAGCUAUUUUAUCGAUAAGUGCGGUAGUGUUGUUUAUUUAUGAUAUUGUGUUUUACAAAUUCAUUCUGUAACGUUUUCGAUAGUAUCGACCUGCUUUGACGGGGCCGGAAAUUGUAUACAAUUAUAUUAUUAUAAAUCGUGUACACUCUCGUAAUAAUAGUUAAGUUCGGAUAGGUGUUCUACGUGAAAAAUAUACGAUAGUAAAGCCACUCGCACACAAUGCAUAAUCGUACACUAGGGAUUCAUCAACUAUUUUUUUUGUGAUGUAAUAACGACUGAAAAAUGCGUAUAUUGUUAUAAUAUUCAAAUGCUUUAAACUUUUGUGCGAUAAAAUAUUAUCGAUAUUUUAAAAUUGUAAUAUGGAUUUCUGGAAACUGAACAGUGCAAAAGUUGCUGAUGAUAUUAAUAUAAUUGAAAGCAAUCAUUUGCGCUAAUAAGCUUGAGUUUCGUUUCAUAUGCUUUCUUAUACGUUUAGUAUAAGACAUUUUCAUAUGGGACUUGUAACAUUUACGUUACUUGAUAGUCAAACAUGUGUUUGAUAUUCAUAGAUUACAAAGCUUACCAAAAUCGUUAUUUAAGUGAUGAAGACUUACAAAAUAAUAUCGAUUUAUUUAAUAAUGCAUCGUAAAUGAUUGUCAAGUAUUGAUGAAUCCUGUGAGUGUUAAAAACAAAGAAGAGCUAUCUUCAUAAUUCUUCGAAUAAAAAAUACAUUCAUUUCUAUUUAUCUAUAACUCUAUAAUAUGAUCUCAUGUACAACGAGUUGUCAUCGUGUGCGAGUGAUUUUAUAAAGGUUGUGCAAGAUAUUAUGGUGCAGCAAUAGAUGUGGAAUGGAUAGGAUCGAACAUUUAUAUAUGGGUUCCAAGAAAACUGGCAGGAAAAGUGAUGGCAGUUAAUAUUGACAUACAUAUUGAAUGUAUGGAUGAGUAUUUGUGUUGAAAUAAAACUACUUCGUGGAUUUUAUUGGGGUUUUUUAUAUUACAAUUUUCUCACGACGUAUUGAAGACUACAUACAGCCUUCGUGGUUACGGGACGUACUCAAAAACAGUGAUAAGAUCCGCCAAAAUAGGUUUAUCUCUGUCUAGCUCUCGUAAACGUAAUAAAUCAAUAUGAGAUUUGUGGUCAAAAUCUCAGGAUGUGAUUGAAAAUUGGUCUAAUUGUUUCUGGAGAAAUACAUUGUGGUUUUUUUGAGUAAUUAUUAUUAUUAUUUUAUUAAAAUAACAUUGAAAUUUUGUUAUUACCGUCUAGUUUUAGUUGAAUUUAGUAGCCACAUCGACAAAUACUGAAGAUAAAUUUUGCAUAGCAAUUUAUAACGGUCGAUAUUCUCCACAACAUUUUGUAUGUAUGUCAAUUAUAGGCGUCUACUUUAUUAUUAUGAGUAAAUAGUUUUUAUAAUUAAUUAAUUAUGUUUAUCGAUUUUAAAUAGUUAUACUUAGAUAAUGGGAGGCGAGCGUAUGUUCGUAUUUGCGAUGAUCUCUUACUAAUAACGAAUUUUCGAUAUGAUUCCGUGGUUAGAUAGCGCGUCAAUAUUCCGCGUCUAUACAAUUUCCAUUUUAUUCAUAUUUUCUAUAUAAUAUAGUGUUUUAUUCGUCGAUAGUCGAUAAAUAACAGUGUUUGUACUAAAAAGUGUUAUCGAUCGAUCGAUAAGUUAUUUUCGAAGCAUGUUCUUGUUAGCGUCAUAUUUUUAUGUUUUAAGAUUGUUAUUGUUUUUUAACGAGUCGAUGUUACACACAGUUUAUUACAGACACUGUGUAAAUCAAGUUUCUAGGUUUUUCCACUCUCUUUCUUUAUAUAAUCUAGUCGCACAAAUGUUUUGGUGUUGAAAUUUUCGUUUAUGAAUUUUGAAGUCCUAAAAAUAUAUCGAUACCCAAUCAUCACUAUUGAAGGAGUAGGAUUGUGUGUAGGCAAAUUUUUAACACAUUAUUAUGUGGAAUGGUCUCUGUGUGUAUGCAUUUUUAUAAUCGCGAUCAUAUUUAUAUAGUGGUGUGAAAAAUAUCGAUAAAUGGCCAUGAUUCCAAAGUAAUGCCAUUUUGUGAGAAUUAUAUAAAAAGAACUUUUUUCAAAUUUUAACAUGAUAUUUCUCGAUAUUUUUAUUUCCAUUCAAUAACAUACGGUAGAGGCGCUUAGUGGAGUAUUUAGUUCACCAACCAAUUGUUUGUCAUAUUAACACAAAGCACUAAAUCUGAUGUUGAUAAUCGGUGAAGGAAGCUUGAACUUUCGGGUGUCAUGAAACCUUAUCGAUACUUUAAAGUUUGCGAUACGUAAAUUUGUCGAAUAAAACGUCGUAUCGACUCUCCGCGUCACGUUUAUUAUAGUCAAUUUAUCGAUAGACUCAGCGUGUGAACAAAAACUUUUUCCAGGAAUAUCUUUUUUUUUAUCUCAAAUUUUGAAAAAGUUAUUGAUUUCCAGCAGGUCAAAUUUUCCGUCCCGAUCUAUUUUGUUAACUCUGAUUUCGCCCAUAUGGUCUUAUAUGUGUGUGUAUGUGUGAUGAAAUGUCUAGAAUAAUGUGUAGCACGUAUUAAAAUAGGGUAGUUGACGACAAACAAUAAUAGCAUAAAUAUAAAUAUAAAUAAAUAAAAUAAAAAACUCAAUAAGUUCAGCCAUAAUUUUUAUUCAAACAAAGCAUUUAAUUGAUCCAAUAUUUAGGAGCGUCUGUCCUGUUCUAGCAAAUGUGUUUUGAUCCAAAAUUAAACAGCAUUAAAGAUAGAUGUUAUUUUCAUGCUGUUUUCUCUCUAAUAUCGAUUUUCUUAAUUCUUCUAUCUUUUAUUUUUUUUUUAUUUUCACUUUGAAUAAGUGAUUUAUUUGUUUUUAAUAUUUUGAUCAUACUGUGUCAACUACCUUAUUGGAGAACCGUCAGUAGUAGGUGGUGGGGUGUAAAAGUCGGUACAGAGCAGGUUUUUAUCUGGGUAGAGUGAGGUUGGUGUCUUGAGGUAUUUUUUAUCGAUGUUUCACUAAUCGAUACUGCACUUGACGUUGAAUUGUUAUCGAUAGAAUGUGCAUCUCGUAUCCUGAAGGUAAAAUUUCGCUCAACCCUGAGAUCGGCUCUGUACUCUAUGAGCGCUUGUAGAGUUAUCUGACUUAUUACCGAACUGUUACUGCUAUUGUAUGCAAUCUUUUUGUUCGAAAAAUGGUAUUUUCUAAUUUACAAACCACGUUAUAUUUUAUUUUCCAUAAUCUAUUUAAGAGACGGAAGUCUAUAAGCGCUCCUUCUAUAAUGUACGUUUCUCGAAAGAAUAUUAACCAAUAAAUUGUACGAACGCAAAUAGUUCAUGCAAUUUGUUGACAAUUUAGUAUCGUUAAACGUGUCCACUUGUGGUAGUAUAGACGUCGACAAACAACUUGACCGAGUAUGCGAGGUCUGUGCGGAGUGAGGGAGACGGAAGUUGCUUUAUCUACCAAUCGUUCGGUCGAUACGUCGUACGGACAUCCGAUGGGUGAAGUUGUUUGUCGACAGCUACAUGUGGUUGUGUAGUAACCGUGUGGUUGGUGCAGGGCAGAUGUGCGAGCGCGUGGGCUGCUACCGGCAGCUGUCGCCCGACCACUCCAACAACACGUGAAUCCACGUACUUGUGAGGGUGGCACGUGGGCUCGGUGACUCACAACUCACCUGUAUACAUAAACCCUCCGCUUACACACCUCCUCCCCCCUCUCUAACUCGGUGCAAGACGAUCCGGAGCCUUAGCAUAGUGAUGUUGCGAAAACUAGUGUUCUAUGUGUGUCUAAAUUGUGUAGAGUUUUAUCGUAAGAGGGUUGUGCCAUUGCCGCGUAAGGACGCGUCCCGUGACGAACGCUGCCGCGCGACCACACAUGUGAUAUAAAGUGUGCUGAAUGAACUAUGGAGACGUUGUCAUGGUACUAAAACAUCGAUAUCGAUGUCCAUUUAUUUUUCACUUUUCCUCCGCAAGCCUUCGACUGUAAUAUGGAUGGUCACAAGGUAUGUUCGCAUCUAUGUAAAACGUAAUUCUUAUGACUGAUAUAAGUACAUUAUUUUCUGUGUACAUUACUUGUGAAGAGCUGUUGUUUUUUUUUUCAUGUGACUGUCGAUACAAUGUAUCGACUGUCGUUUCGGGUGUGUAGUGCACGAUUCGUUUUAAAUAUACUCUAAGUUUUUUUUAAUCGAGCGCAAUGUCGCGGAUUUUUUUGAAGGAUUACCAUCUUGGCGUCACUCGCGUGUCGUCGACUUAUUUUGAUAGUCCAUUGUGAAAGAUCUUUUUGAAAAAUCCGCGGCGAUUGUUACAAAGAAAAGUAUAGAGUAGUAUGCUAUAGUUAGGUACCGGCCAGUGUUGAAGAGAUUCUGUCGCGACGAAUGAAUUUUAUAAAAUGUGGAAAUGACUACUGUUCGAAUUGGAAAGAGAAAUAAUAAUAUGUUUAUUAUAGAACAUCGUAUUAAUUUUUAUGUGUACAUUAGAAUUCAAUGUGAAAAUCACGGAAAUUUGGCGGGUGUGUUGUCGCAUGGUUGAAUAUGGCAAUAUUGGGCCUUAUUUAGAUUUUGUUUGAGUAUACGAUACGGCUAUAUACUGCACAUAAACUCUCUAAUCUCGCAGUAUUAAUCGAUUUAAAAUCGGAUACUUUGACAGCAUCGCAUUAUCUAUAUAGAGACUGCAAGCCCUCACAGACUGCAGAACUUUUAUCGAUAGAGUCCAGUUUUAGAUCAGACUCAGUGCUGUACAUCACCGAAUCGUUAUAUUGUGAGAACUGAUAUUGAUAAAAAAAAACUAAAUUAUCGAUUUAAGAGUCUGUACUAAUAUUCCUUAUAGUUACAGUAUGAGGACUUAUCCCGAUUAAAAAGUCGGAACUAUCGACUAAAAAGUCUGUACUCUGCAAAGGCCCUGAAGGUUAAAAGUGAAUAUCGUUCCCGACAGUGUACCUGCCAGGUUCCCGUGAAUAAAUCGAUAUAACUUAGUGUUUCUGGUUACGACUUAAAAUUGUGAGAAAACAUAAUAAGGAACCAAUUUCAUGGUGGUGCUCUUAAUUUUUUGUUUUAUUCUUCGUCAAAAUAUUAAGAAGAUAAACUUUCUAUGUAUUCAAAUGUACUAUCGAUCAUUCGCGUUUACUUAUCGAUAAUGUGACGGUAAAAAAUAAUGUAUUAUUUUCUGUGGAAAAUAAUGUGAGGUUUGUGUUAUGCUGUAUUGUGACAAAUUCUUUUUAUCGAUUUAAUUUUAUCGAUACAUACGUUCUGUUUUUAAAACUUUAUUCGAUAUUUGAAUUUCCAUUAUCGAUACGUAAACGCGAGCGUCAUAAUAUAACGAGUCGACCAACAUUACCCAUGCCAACGAAUUAUCAACCAAAACGUAAUAAACGUUAUCUAUUCACAAACCAUCUCUAUUGAAAUCUUUUAGUUAAUAUCCUUUUAUAUGUUAAUUGUAAAAGAAAUACAAUGCCGUAUGCGCGAGGCAGAUUGUCCCACCAGCUUAGGUCCCGUUGAGGACGAAUAUUUUUUUUUUUUGUAUAUUUUCAAGAGAUCUCAUUGACUGCAGUCAUAUUUGUUUUAGGCUUUGGGUGGUCAUUCUGGGGGGGCUUUUUCAUAUAAUCGAUGUUUUUGAGAUAUUAUCCGAAUUUUACUAACAUAGUGUCAUUUUAAAUUGAGUAAAAUGUGUAUUUUAUUUUUUAAAAUGGCGCACAUGUUUGACGUCAUAAUUCUCUGUAAACGAAUAUAACUGUGUGUAAAAGUUCUCCCAAACGUUCCACCCGAUAUAAAACUGCUAAAACACAUUUUGUUGCAUAAAACCGUUAUUUUGUAAACAUAUAUGAAGGCCUACAGACACCCGUUUGUGAUGUAAUACAGAUAAAUUGCGUUAAGUGAAUAACUGCGGCCUUAUGUGUAUGAAUACAAAUGUAUUAUGAACUGUAUGCACCGAGUGGGUCACACUAUGGAUGGAAAAUAUCAAUAAAAAAUUGCAACAGUGCAAUUUUUGUUCAAUUAUAUUAUUAAGCUUUUUUCAUGACCCGACCCCUUUUAUUUUUUACUUCUACUAUAAUUUCUUGGCAAAUUAUUUUCUGACAUGUAUAAUUUCUUUUUAUCUGUUGACUCAUUUUUAAGUGAAAAAAAAAAACUUUUUUCUUAUAAAAACUGUUUUUUUUUACUGUUUUAAAUGUUCCCUUUGUAGUGUGAACCACUUCGGCACAGAUAUAACACGGUGUCCAAAACAAACGGAGAAAAUAAUUAUUUUUAAUUGUAAAUAUUAUUGUUAUGAUACAUAGUGGUUAUUUGAGAUCUGUUUUCUUCAUCAUAGUUUAGAUAGUCGUGUUGCAACCGAAUCGGCUUCUGACCGUCGCGAUUUCGGUAAAAUCUACACAUUACAACGAGGCGAAUCGUCCGAAAAGAAAACUUUUGUCGAAAUCGCGACGGUCAAAAGAUUUUUUUGGAUGAAAGAAUUUUAUCAUUCUGACAAUAGUUACUUAACUGAAUGCAUGGCUGGCCCAUGCGCGAAAUAAUAAAAAAAAAACAUGUGUAACUUUGGAAUCAUACCAUUAUUGUACGCUUAUUUUUGUACGUCUUCAGUGAGAAAUAAUUGCAAUAAAGCCUAUUUUCCCAUAGCGGCGUAUUCGAAAUAAAGGCAAAGGAUUGGCAUCCGAUACUCAUGCGGUCGACAUGCGGCCCCUUUGCGACUGAUGACCCUUCCCCCUCUGGAAGUGGCGACAGCAUCAGGCCGAGUUCUGGACUCGCGAGGACUAGAGUGGCCUUAGUGACAUUGUAAAAUCUCUUUUGGAGUUGUAUUUAGUGGUUUUGGUUAUGGUAUUUUUUUCAUAUGUAGUGUUCAGCCACGCUUAAACUUAUUCGCUAAGCAAAUGGUGUUACGUGAAGUCAUUUAGUACAAGCGCGUAGUGCCACAUUUGACUACGUUGUCUCUGUGGAGACGUAUUGUCAAUUUGUUAAGCAUAAGAUUACGCUGUAGGCCGAACCCGAAGUUUAAUAAUCUUUAUGAAAAAAGUCCAUAACAGCCAUCUGUGGUAUGAAUUCACACCUAAUCCGUUUUAUCUAUUUUACUUUUAUAAUUAUUAAACAGUUAAGUCACUCUGGUCCCCGCGGGCUCAGUUAUUCGUUUGUUUCUAUGACGUUUUGCGAGAGUUGAAGGAUUAUUGUGAUAAAGUGGCUUGGUAGUUAGCGGCGGCUCAAACCGAUGCGGCCUGAACACUGGUUCGAUUCCCGAGCUUGUACCUCGUUGCGGCUGGGUCAUGCGUCGUAUCCAACGGGAGCAUCAUCCCGUUCAGUUCCUAUACGACAGCGAGAUUAAUGACCCGUGCUUAAGUCAAUUAAAUUGGGUGAUGUGGGGUGAUUUGAGCCGUCAGCGGGGAUGAGAGAAUUCGAAAAAAAUGUCAUAAGUGUUGACCGACUUGACAAUUCACAACGUCAAAGUGUUUUGCGAAAAAAUUAACUCUAACCUUUAUGGCGUUUUUAUUGAAUUCUUAAGUUAGCAUAGUAAGGAAUAAUGAAUGAUUAAUGUUAGUAUAGAUCGUGUUUAGAUAGGAAUUAUUAACGUCAUAGAAAUGAAAAAAAAAAAAAUUACAAAAAAUUUAAAAUUUGUUCGUUUAGGUUAUAUUUUUUAAAAUUUCUUUAUUGAUAAGGAAAAAGUAGUCACACUAAUACUUCCAGUUUGUUCAAAAUCGAAAACAAUUUGUUUUUUUUUUUAAGUGUCAUGAAUUUGUUUCUUUGACUAAUUAGUUUGUAAUUUUUUUAUGGUAUCGCUUUCAGACGAAACUUAAUUUAAGCGUUUUUGGCUCACAUUCACGAUUUCCGUGCGUCGUUUGAUGUUAAUUUUAUUUUUGUCCAAAUUUUUUCUGUAAAUAAUGUCGAAAUUCUAAAAAAAAAUUGAAUAAUGAUUUGUGCCGAUCGAUUUUAAGUGUAAAUGUUAAGCAGCGAAUUACAAUCUAUUUGACGUCCGGUUUUUAAUAACGCGAUAUAUAUCAUCAAGUACAAAUUUAGAACUUUAGUUUGGACCGUCUCGUGCGGACGGGAGCGGGCUAAGUCAUUUAACUUAUUCUCCCGAUAUGAAUGAUAUUUUUAAAUGUAAAGAAAAAAACCAGCCACCUUUAGUAUUAAAGUAACCCCAUUCCAGGUAGAAGUUUUGACGAAUUGUUUUUUUUUUAUUUGUUUACACGCGAUGAAAACUCGUUAUUGGUUCGCUCGACCUCCCCACCACCACUUCCCCCUGUCCCCUCAUAAAGUUUUUAGCUUUAAAGAUUGUUGUUUGCCUUACAAAAAAAUGUGAUCUUAUGACGAUUAUACUUAAAGGAUGCCGCAGUGCGUCGCGGCCGUGGGACGUUUGUGUCGUGUUUUAUGCCAUAUUAUACAUUAUACUAACUGGUAUUUCUGUUCCGAGUCUUGAAAAAUUGUCUUCGUCUUCUUUAAAACUGAUUUUUGUCUCAACUGUUUUAUAUGUACUUUCACAUUUAAGAUUACGUUAAAAGGGUAUCCCACCUUUAAAACUCCAUUCACAAAUUAUCUAAACAUAACUUUUCAAUUCAAUGUGAAGUUACCCUCAUUUGGGAAUUGAACACAAACGCCUCGCGACCGCGACGAAUAUGAAAGAAUAUGCCUUUAUAAUGAUAACAAAUUGAAUUAUGUAAUAUUGUAAGAUUUGACAAACGUGAGGUGCGGUAGGCUCUGUGAAACAUACCGGUCAAUUGUGGGCGCUGAGGGGAGAGAUUUACUGAGGCGGGUUUGAUUUUAGGUGAGAAAUUGUAAGGUAUAUUAUGGGUCGUUUUGACUUUGCAUACGACGGAGUAGCAUGCUACAAUAAGCUAAGAAUCAAGCCUGUUUAUUAUAUAAAUUUAAAUUAAACUUAAAAAAUAAAUACCCACAUUUGAUAUCUUGGUCAAAAAGUAUUAACAAAAAUUUUAAUCGUAACUGAAUAAAAUAUUUCCAUGUUUUUAAAUUGCAAGAAACGUAUAAGCAAGUUAGCUCAUGACAACUUGUUGGGUAAUAAAGCGCUACGCGAGCAAGAAUGGCCUAUCUGCGAACUUCGCUACAAAAUUCCAUGAGACUGAAAUUGUUAGUCAGGUGAUUGAUAUAUUUGCAGCAUUAAUAAGAGUAUUUCGAAUAUGAUUUGUUUCUGUCGACGUUUUUUACAAGUUUUAUAAUCCUUUUUGAAUUAACAUUUAAUAUGUCAGUUAGACCAUUCUUGCCCCGAUGGUUUUAUUUCUUUUAUUAUCCCUUUUUCUAUCCGUACUUGUUACUAAUGUAAAAAAACAGAAUGGAUGAAAAAUUACGCUAAACCUUACACGAUAUAUCUGCCAACCGCCUUCGCACGUAAAUUGUAUCUCUUAAACUAUAAUGUAAAGAUUUUUCGAAACGAUUAAUCGUUUUGAAAAAUCGUAUUGCUAACAGCAGAUAUAUACGCCAUUAAUACAAGUAAAGCUCUCCCCACGACGUUUUUUUAAGUUAUUUAAGGAUCGUAAAAAAUUCUUAGUUCCACAAUCAUUGUUAUAAGCAAAAAUGUAAAAUUGUUUUAUCUUAGUAAGUAAAAGAUCUCAUGUCUUAUUUCUUUUGUUUUGUCUUUUUUAUAUUUUGAAGAAGUUCGGAAUAGUCGAGUUGAUUUAAAGACAACCAAUGUAAAAUAUAUUGAUGUACAUAA
This 11606-nucleotide unclassified non-coding RNA is filed under the name Manduca sexta (tobacco hornworm). RNAcentral describes it as "phosphatidylinositol 3,4,5-trisphosphate 3- phosphatase and dual-specificity protein phosphatase PTEN, transcript variant X5". Lineage: Eukaryota; Metazoa; Arthropoda; Insecta; Lepidoptera; Sphingidae. The record is from RNAcentral.